GAUGGACGCUGGCGGCGUGCCUAAUACAUGCAAGUCGAGCGAACGGACGAGAAGCUUGCUUUUCUGAUGUUAGCGGCGGACGGGUGAGUAACACGUGGAUAACCUACCUAUAAGACUGGGACAACUUCGGGAAACCGGAGCUAAUACCGGAUAAUAUUUUGAACCGCAUGGUUCAAAAGUGAAAGACGGUCUUGCUGUCACUUAUAGAUGGAUCCGCGCUGCAUUAGCUAGUUGGUAAGGUAACGGCUUACCAAGGCAACGAUGCAUAGCCGACCUGAGAGGGUGAUCGGCCACACUGGAACUGAGACACGGUCCAGACUCCUACGGGAGGCAGCAGUAGGGAAUCUUCCGCAAUGGGCGAAAGCCUGACGGAGCAACGCCGCGUGAGUGAUGAAGGUCUUCGGAUCGUAAAACUCUGUUAUUAGGGAAGAACAUAUGUGUAAGUAACUGUGCACAUCUUGACGGUACCUAAUCAGAAAGCCACGGCUAACUACGUG
Molecule: ribosomal RNA, 497 nt
Filed under: uncultured bacterium
Lineage: Bacteria
Description: partial 16S ribosomal RNA
Rfam family: Bacterial small subunit ribosomal RNA
Source: RNAcentral